This 58-nucleotide microRNA precursor is filed under the name Lottia gigantea (owl limpet). Its description in RNAcentral is "Lgi-Mir-92-o29-v1_pre stem-loop". The record is from RNAcentral. Lineage: Eukaryota; Metazoa; Mollusca; Gastropoda; Lottiidae.
AGGUCGUGAUAUUUGCAAUAUGGAGAAGAAUAAUCAAAUUGCACUUGUCCCGGCCUGC